RNAcentral lists this long non-coding RNA (3381 nucleotides) under Homo sapiens (human). RNAcentral's name for it is "HSALNT0122527". Lineage: Eukaryota; Metazoa; Chordata; Mammalia; Primates; Hominidae. The record is from RNAcentral.
UCUGUAGCUGUUUUCUCAUUUGUCAGUUCCAAAAGGAAUUGAAAACUGGAGGUUUCUGCCUAGUUUCCUUCCUCAUUCUCACAGCCUUGGUUAUUGUCUCCACCAACUCGGUUCAUUGACCUACAAAUGCCAGCUUCUCUUGAAUGUUUUCCAUCUCUUUCCCAGACCAUCCACAGCUGGCAGCCAAGCUUUGCAAGUUUUAUUUCCGAAAUGCUUCUCAACUUCUUUCUAGGUACAGAAGACCACCUGCACCAUCUCUUGCUGGGUGAGAGCUACUCUCUGCAGACGUAGUCACAGCUGGUAUUUCACCAGCAGAUGCCAUGAUUCAAUUCCACCAUAAUGACAUUGGGUAGUCUUUGUCAACUCUCCUCCUUGUGAGGAGGAUGUAAAAACACUUCAGAAACAUACUGGAAAUCUUCAUGAGUAGGUCACAUGAUGAUCAACUCUGUGGUUGGAAGUCAGGAAUCUUCAAAGGAGUGGGAUGAUUCUGCAAGAACUCCCACAUUCUUAGUGAUUGCACAGUACAGUCUGGUCAACCCUCCUGAAAAGGACAGCUGCUUCAUCUCGAUAAACCCAUCGUCAUAAAUCACACGAUGGAAUAUUACACAGCAAUGACAAGGAAUGAACAACGGGCCAUAAAACCACAUGAGUAAAGUUCAAAAACAUUCUGUGGAGUUGAAAAGUACAUGGUGUAGGAGUCAAUUUAUGAAAUUCAAGAACAUGUAGAGCAUGGUAUGACAGAAGUCAGCAUAAUGAAUACUUCUGCUGUGAAGAUUGACUGGGGAAAAGGAUGGAAAGACUUUCUGAGUGACAGAAACAGUUUGUAUCUUUAUCUCAUUGAAAGUCAGACAGCUAAAAAUUGACCUGGAUGCACACUUCAGAUUUCCACAUUGCACUGUAUUUACAUAACACUUCAAUUUUUAAAGGCAAAGGAAAGAAGAUGGUGACCCCUGUGGUAGUAGUGGAUGUCUCUCAGUGGUCUGAAUUCUAGAGAUUUUCCUGGCAUUAGGAAAAAAAUGCAGGAUUUUUAACACAUACGGCCAAGAGAAGUUGAAAAACAUAGCUAAAAUGCGCUUAAAACAAAACAACACUAAACAUUAGCAUAGGUUUUGUACAUCCUAGUUCCUCUCCCUCUCCUUCUCUUUCUCUCUUUUGUUCAAAUGCUGGAAGUGAACAACAAUUGUUUUGAUAUUAAAAUAACUACACAGUGUCAACAAUGUUUCCUUCAUUGAGUUUUGAGGCUACAGCAAUGACAAGAAAAAAUGGACUUUCACGUUAAGAAUCUCACCAACUAAAAGGGAGCUAUAGCAUCUUUUAUAAUAUUAAGUUGCAUUUGCUGACUGCUACCUAUUUACACUCAACUAUACACUUACAAAGUUCUACCUGCUUUUUUGUAUUAACUAUUUUAACACUCACAACCAACAUUGAAGGAGUUAAAUAUCUUGCCUCAAAUCAAAGAAUUAAUAAAUGGUAAAGGCAAUAUUUGAAGCAGACAGUGUAUUUCUGGAGACUAUUCUCUCACCCACUACAUGCUAUUAACAUUCAACCAUGCUAUGAGAUAAACAAAGAAGUUCUCUCCUGGUUUGACUUCUGUGGCAUCUGUUUCUUUUCUUUUUUUUUUUUAACCUUUCCCCUUCUCUUCUCUACUUUUUACUUUCCUCUCCUGAUUCACUUUCAUCUGCCUGCCUGUUGAAUAUCAAUGUUCCACAGUUUAUUUCCUCGGCCUUAGUUUCUUCAAAUUCUGGAAUUCCAUCCAGAAAGAAACAUCAUUUAUUGCCAGUUUCAGUCACCAUAUGUCUUUCUUUCUGGGGAACACAUCUACCUGCAUUUCCAGAGGCAAUUUCAACUUAUCUGGUCUGUCAUUUAACUCUAUAUCUUUCUUCCAAAGCUUGUUUCUCCUACCACGAAAGUUGGACCUUUCACUCAACUUGAAGUCUUGUCAGCACCUUUGACCAGCUUUACACCCUAAUCCUCCACAACAAAUGCACAGUGACCUCCUGUCUCUCAUACCCUUCCCCUCCACUCCCCUAACAUUACCUUGGCUCAGCUCUCAUCUCUUACCUGAAUUGUUGUAACAUCCCCCAGUUUCACCCAUCCAAAUACAUUUCCACACUGUGGAGAACACACAGGAAGCUUUCUAAAUUUCAAAUGUGUUCAUUCUACUCCCUUGCUUUAAAACCUACAUUUCCCACAGGAUAAAGUCCACAUUUUAUGGCAUGAAAACCUUUGCCAUCGUGCCCAGAUGUUAAUGGUGGAAGUGCCAGCCUAGGCAAACCUAGGCAGGUACACUAGGUUGGAAACCGUGUCAGGAGCAAUGUAGGAAUGAGGAUUAAAGCCACAGGUAAAGUCAAGUCAGAGGUCUUUGGAAAGUCUUUAUGAAAAUGGAUGAGGUGGAGGCUUGGUACUGACACUUUGAAAUGUUUACUUGCAUCGUUCGUUCAUCAUUCUCAGGAAAAGCGGCAACCUGCAGCUGGGUUCUAAAUAAGAUUUCCAGUUUCGUCCAGUCCAUCCCAGAUGCAACCAGGUGCUCUCUACCUUCAGAGGAAAGAAAUAUCUAGUCCAUCAAUCACUGCCCCCCUUCCAAUAUUCUAGGGUAUGCCCUAUUUUCCCAUUAGUUCUUGGUUUAGGCUACUUCUUUCCCCUGCCCUUGGCUUCCUUUGUGUCGGGAGAAUUGGCUCACCAAAUUCCACUUUUCCUACUGUGAUUUUAUUAUAAAGAUAGAAAAAGCUAAGUGUUCAUGUUCCCAGCCUUCAGUGUAGCUUCUGACAGUCACGUAACAUAAAUGUGCUCAGUCCAGCAUUCACAGAACUCUGCUGAUGCCUCUCUUUCUAUUCCUUCUUCCUGCUUGGAAUGCAGAUGUGAUGUUAGAAUUGGAUCGGAGAAAUUGUGACUCUUGGGGCCAUGAACCCACCCACUUCACUCAGAGUUAUGGGAAGCUUAGUAUGAAUGUGCUACAUUGACCCUGGCUCAGCUGCCUCUGGGCUCCCUGGGAAGUGAGGGAAGCAAAGCCAUAUUUGUUAAGGGGAAAGUUGGAGUCGCUCUCGGCUCCACACAGCUGAAAGCAUUAUUAACUGAUACAGCCUUUUUCAUUCAUAAAUUAUAAGGAAGGCAUAAUUGUCCUUACUUCACAGACAUCUCAUAGAAUAGAAAAGCUAAGUAAACUAGUUUAUCUUGGAACAAGAUUGGAAACUUCUUAUCUGAAACUAAAGAGGUCAUUUUCCAAUCUAAGGUCAGUCCCAGUGCAAAGACCAGCAGUUGUUUUUGUUCUCUCUUUUGGAGAUAAGGAAAUUGUGGCACACAGAAGCUUUGAGUCUUGCAAGUAUCAUAAACCACGUUCUUUCUCUGCCUCUCUUCUUAAUCUACUUAUUUGCCGUACCAUUC